This 22-nucleotide ribosomal RNA is filed under the name Corynascus verrucosus. Its description in RNAcentral is "partial 18S ribosomal RNA". RNAcentral also lists the same sequence under 2 other names. The record is from RNAcentral. Lineage: Eukaryota; Fungi; Ascomycota; Sordariomycetes; Sordariales; Chaetomiaceae.
CCGUAGGUGAACCUGCGGAGGG